AGAGUUUGAUCCUGGCUCAGAUUGAACGCUGGCGGCAUGCUUUACACAUGCAAGUCGAACGGUAACAGGGAGCUUGCUCCGCUGACGAGUGGCGAACGGGUGAGUAAUAUAUCGGAACGUACCCAAGAGUGGGGGAUAACGUAGCGAAAGUUACGCUAAUACCGCAUACGAUCUAAGGAUGAAAGCAGGGGACCGCAAGGCCUUGUGCUCMUGGAGCGGCCGAUAUCUGAUUAGCUAGUUGGUAGGGUAAAGGCCUACCAAGGCAUCGAUCAGUAGCUGGUCUGAGAGGACGACCAGCCACACUGGAACUGAGACACGGUCCAGACUCCUACGGGAGGCAGCAGUGGGGAAUUUUGGACAAUGGGCGCAAGCCUGAUCCAGCAAUGCCGCGUGAGUGAAGAAGGCCUUCGGGUUGUAAAGCUCUUUUGUCAGGGAAGAAACGGGUGUGGCUAAUAUCUGCAUCUAAUGACGGUACCUGAAGAAUAAGCACCGGCUAACUACGUGCCAGCAGCCGCGGUAAUACGUAGGGUGCAAGCGUUAAUCGGAAUUACUGGGCGUAAAGCGUGCGCAGGCGGUUUUGUAAGUCUGUUGUGAAAUCCCCGGGCUUAACCUGGGAAUGGCAAUGGAGACUGCAAGGCUAGAGUUUGGCAGAGGGGGGUAGAAUUCCACGUGUAGCAGUGAAAUGCGUAGAGAUGUGGAGGAACACCGAUGGCGAAGGCAGCCCCCUGGGYCAAKACUGACGCUCAUGCACGAAAGCGUGGGKAGCAAACAGGAUUAGAUACCCUGGUAGUCC
RNAcentral lists this ribosomal RNA (793 nucleotides) under uncultured bacterium. RNAcentral describes it as "bacterial SSU rRNA". It matches the Rfam family "Bacterial small subunit ribosomal RNA", at positions 8 to 796 of the family's 1533-position model. The record is from RNAcentral.